Molecule: ribosomal RNA, 1355 nt
Filed under: uncultured soil bacterium
Lineage: Bacteria
Description: bacterial SSU rRNA
Rfam family: Bacterial small subunit ribosomal RNA
Source: RNAcentral
GGUUGAACGCUGGCGGAAUGCUUUACACAUGCAAGUCGAACGGCAGCACGGGAGCUUGCUCCUGGUGGCGAGUGGCGAACGGGUGAGUAACGCGUCGGAACGUACCGAGUAAUGGGGGAUAACGCAGCGAAAGCUGUGCUAAUACCGCAUACGCCCUGAGGGGGAAAGUGGGGGAUCGCAAGACCUCACGUUAUUCGAGCGGCCGACGUCUGAUUAGCUUGUUGGUGGGGUAAUGGCCUACCAAGGCGACGAUCAGUAGCGGGUCUGAGAGGAUGAUCCGCCACACUGGAACUGAGACACGGUCCAGACUCCUACGGGAGGCAGCAGUGGGGAAUUUUGGACAAUGGGGGCAACCCUGAUCCAGCCAUUCCGCGUGAGUGAAGAAGGCCUUCGGGUUGUAAAGCUCUUUCAGCUGGAACGAAACGGUACAUCCUAAUACGGUGUGCUAAUGACGGUACCAGCAGAAGAAGCACCGGCUAACUACGUGCCAGCAGCCGCGGUAAUACGUAGGGUGCGAGCGUUAAUCGGAAUUACUGGGCGUAAAGCGUGCGCAGGCGGAUUGUUAAGCAAGAUGUGAAAUCCCCGGGCUUAACCUGGGAAUGGCAUUUUGAACUNGCAGUCUAGAGUGUGUCAGNNNGGGGGUGGAAUUCCACGUGUAGCAGUGAAAUGCGUAGAGAUGUGGAGGAACACCAAUGGCGAAGGCAGCCCCCUGGGAUAACACUGACGCUCAUGUACGAAAGCGUGGGUAGCAAACAGGAUUAGAUACCCUGGUAGUCCACGCCCUAAACGAUGUCAACUGGUUGUUGGGAGGGUUCCUUCUCAGUAACGAAGCUAACGCGUGAAGUUGACCGCCUGGGGAGUACGGCCGCAAGGUUGAAACUCAAAGGAAUUGACGGGGACCCGCACAAGCGGUGGAUGAUGUGGUUUAAUUCGACGCAACGCGAAAAACCUUACCUACCCUUGACAUGUCUGGAAUCCCGAAGAGAUUUGGGAGUGCUCGAAAGAGAACCAGAACACAGGUGCUGCGUGGCCGUCGUCAGCUCGUGUCGUGAGAUGUUGGGUUAAGUCCCGCAACGAGCGCAACCCUUGUCAUUAGUUGCUACGUAAGGGCACUCUAAUGAGACUGCCGGUGACAAACCGGAGGAAGGUGGGGAUGACGUCAGGUCAUCAUGGCCCUUAUGGGUAGGGCUACACACGUCAUACAAUGGACGGUACAGAGGGCUGCCAACCCGCGAGGGGGAGCCAAUCCCAGAAAACCGUUCGUAGUCCGGAUCGCAGUCUGCAACUCGACUGCGUGAAGUCGGAAUCGCUAGUAAUCGCGGAUCAGCUUGCCGCGGUGAAUACGUUCCCGGGUC